This 43-nucleotide transfer RNA is filed under the name Podarcis tiliguerta. RNAcentral describes it as "partial tRNA-Leu". The record is from RNAcentral. Lineage: Eukaryota; Metazoa; Chordata; Lepidosauria; Squamata; Lacertidae.
UUUCUAUAGGAAAGUAGCAAUCCAUUGGUUUUAGGCACCAAAA